This 468-nucleotide ribosomal RNA is filed under the name uncultured bacterium. Its description in RNAcentral is "partial 16S ribosomal RNA". It matches the Rfam family "Bacterial small subunit ribosomal RNA", at positions 28 to 507 of the family's 1533-position model. The record is from RNAcentral.
GACGAACGCUGGCGGCGUGCUUAACACAUGCAAGUCGAACGGAAAGGCCCUGCUUUUGUGGGGUGCUCGAUUGGCGAACGGGUGAGUAACACGUGAGUAACCUGCCCUUGACUUUGGGAUAACUUCAGGAAACUGGGGCUAAUACCGGAUAGGAGCUCCUGCUGCAUGUUGGGGGUUGGAAAGUUUCGGCGGUUGGGGAUGGACUCGCGGCUUAUCAGCUUGUUGGUGGGGUAGUGGCUUACCAAGGCUUUGACGGGUAGCCGGCCUGAGAGGGUGACCGGCCACAUUGGGACUGAGAUACGGCGCAGACGCCUACGGGAGGCAGCAGUGGGGAAUAUUGCACAAUGGGCGGAAGCCUGAUGCAGCAACGCCGCGUGCGGGAUGACGGCCUUCGGGUUGUAAACCGCUUUCGCCUGUGACGAAGCGUGAGUGACGGUAAUGGGUAAAGAAGCACCGGCUAACUACGUG